Molecule: ribosomal RNA, 253 nt
Filed under: uncultured bacterium
Lineage: Bacteria
Description: partial 16S ribosomal RNA
Rfam family: Bacterial small subunit ribosomal RNA
Source: RNAcentral
UACGUAGGGGGCAAGCGUUAUCCGUAUUUACUGGGUGUAAAGGGAGCGUAGGCGGCGAUGCAAGUCAGAAGUGAAAGCCCGGGGCUCAACUCCGGGACUGCUUUUGAAACUGUGUUGCUAGAUUGCAGGAGAGGUAAGUGGAAUUCCUAGUGUAGCGGUGAAAUGCGUAGAUAUUAGGAGGAACACCAGUGGCGAAGGCGGCUUACUGGACUGUAAAUGACGCUGAGGCUCGAAAGCGUGGGGAGCAAACAGG